GACGGGGCCCGCACAAGCGGUGGAGCAUGUGGUUUAAUUCGACGCAACGCGAAAAACCUUACCUGGGUUUGACAUGUGGAGAUCCCGUUGAAAGACGGGAGUGCCCCGUAAGGGGAACUCCAACACAGGUGCUGCAUGGCUGUCGUCAGCUCGUGCCGUGAGGUGUUAGGUUAAGUCCUGCAACGAGCGCAACCCUCACCCUUAGUUGCCAUCCUUAAGUUGGGCACCCUAAGGGAACUGCCGCAGUUAAUGCGGAGGAAGGUGGGGAUGACGUCAAGUCCUCAUGGCCCUUAUGUCCAGGGCUACACACGUGCUACAAUGGACGGAACAAAUGGUUGCUAACCCGCGAGGGGGAGCUAAUCCAAGAAAUCCGCUCUCAGUUCGGAUUGGAGUCUGCAACUCGACUCCAUGAAGCUGGAAUCGCUAGUAAUCGCGGAUCAUCAUGCCGCGGUGAAUACGUUCCCGGGCCUU
RNAcentral lists this ribosomal RNA (471 nucleotides) under uncultured Syntrophorhabdus sp. RNAcentral's name for it is "bacterial SSU rRNA". It matches the Rfam family "Bacterial small subunit ribosomal RNA", at positions 916 to 1381 of the family's 1533-position model. The record is from RNAcentral. Lineage: Bacteria; Pseudomonadati; Thermodesulfobacteriota; Syntrophorhabdia; Syntrophorhabdales; Syntrophorhabdaceae.